Molecule: unclassified non-coding RNA, 413 nt
Filed under: soil metagenome
Description: partial contains 5.8S ribosomal RNA, internal transcribed spacer 2, and large subunit ribosomal RNA
Rfam family: 5.8S ribosomal RNA (bases 1-120)
Source: RNAcentral
GAUGAAGAACGUAGCGAAAUGCGAUAAGUAAUGUGAAUUGCAGAAUUCAGUGAAUCAUCGAAUCUUUGAACGCACCUUGCGCUCUUUGGUAUUCCGAAGAGCAUGCCUGUUUGAGUGUCAUGAAAAUAUCAACCUUGACUUGGGUUUUGUGCUCUAGUCUCGGCUUGGAAUUGGGUGCUUGCCGCUUUUACGUGCGGCUCACCUUAAAUGUAUUAGCUGGAUCUGUCUUUGAGACUUGGUUUGACUUGGCGUAAUAAGUAUUUCGCUAAGGACAUUCUUCGGAGUGGCCUCGUUUCUAGGACGCUUGUCCGCUUUCCAAUACAAGUUCCACCUCGUGGACAUGACUUUUUAUUAUCUGGCCUCAAAUCAGGUAGGACUACCCGCUGAACUUAAGCAUAUCAAUAAGCGGAGGA